Molecule: long non-coding RNA, 415 nt
Organism: Eupeodes corollae
Lineage: Eukaryota; Metazoa; Arthropoda; Insecta; Diptera; Syrphidae
Exons: 2
Source: RefSeq, a predicted model, not a curated record
GCAUGCAUUUGAAUAAUUUUUAAUAACAAAACAAAUAAUCAGAUUUCUAAGUGAAUUUAGUAUAAAAAGACCGGUCCUAUUGGCUUGGAAGAAUCAUUUAGAUUUCAAUACUCAAUCAGGUACCACCUACCUCUUACUCAUCAAGAAUAAUACCUCGUAUAUAGAAUCGAUUGAAAUGAAUUUCAAGGCUACAAUUUUAAUGAAUUUGUUAUUUGUAAUAUUGCUCUGUAUUACAAUUGCAAAAUCAUCUUAUGCACCAGUACUUGUUCAUCAGCCUGCAAUUCCCCAGGGAUCGUCAAAUCAUGGUGGGGGCUCAUCGUCUGGCCAUUCUUCAAGGAACCUUGCUAGAUCAAAAAAUAACAGCGGUUUGUAAAUCACAAAACUUUCUCUCAAAUAAAAACAUAAUCAAAAUCUA